Molecule: microRNA precursor, 55 nt
Filed under: Podarcis lilfordi (Lilford's wall lizard)
Lineage: Eukaryota; Metazoa; Chordata; Lepidosauria; Squamata; Lacertidae
Source: RNAcentral
UGUGUGUGUGUGUGUGUGUGUGUGUGUACAUAUGUACACACACUACACACACACA